GAUGGCAGUCUGAGAGGGGCAAAGUGUCAGGAGCUCAAGGCAUUGGUUUAAAAGAAUUGUGUCUUUGUCAUUGUCAGGCUGUGGCUGGUCCCAUGUCUUGGUCCCAACGAGGCCUUUGGUGUUACAAAAUGCAAAACACGAGGUAACCAAAUAGCAUUUCCAUGGAAAGAGCCCAGGAACUCUGGUGCUGUGCGCAGCAGCCCUGGAGGGGAUGUGGUAUUAUCUCCAUCUGCAGAUGAGAAAACAGAGGCUCAGAGAUGGUAGAUCACCCGUGGUGGGCAUACUUCCCUCUGAGGAAUGGGAAACUGGCGAUGAUUUUUGUAAAAGGGAAUGACCCAGUUGCUUUUUGAAAAGGCUGCACACAUGAGGAAGUAUCGAAUAGAAGAUAUGUGUACAAAAUUCUGGCACAACUGUGACUAAUAUGCAGUUCAGCAGUCCUGCCAUUGGUCCAGGUUUGCUCAGCACGGAGGCACCCAGAUGCCAUGGCAACAGGCAUUAUCAGAGUGUCCCCCACCAAUCUGCUAGAACAGUUGUCAACGUGAGACCUCCCACACAGAACUCAGGUGCCCCCUUCAGAGACUCGGAAGCUUCUCCACAGACGAUAAUGGAGAUGCCCAGGAAAUUAAGCUGAUCGAAAACUUGGAAGAUUUUGGAAAUUAGCCUUUAGUGGGGAGUGGGGUAAAAGGUAAGAUAAUACUUAUUCACCCUAGUUCCU
Non-coding RNA from Microcebus murinus (gray mouse lemur), 715 nucleotides. NCBI's taxonomy places the organism in Eukaryota, Metazoa, Chordata, Mammalia, Primates, Cheirogaleidae. The record is from RefSeq and is a predicted model, not a curated record.